This 460-nucleotide ribosomal RNA is filed under the name uncultured bacterium. RNAcentral's name for it is "partial 16S ribosomal RNA". It matches the Rfam family "Bacterial small subunit ribosomal RNA", at positions 338 to 795 of the family's 1533-position model. The record is from RNAcentral.
CCUACGGGAGGCAGCAGUGAGGAAUAUUGGUCAAUGGACGAGAGUCUGAACCAGCCAAGCAGCGUGAAGGAUGACUGCCCUAUGGGUUGUAAACUUCUUUUAUAAAGGAAUAAAACGAGGCACGUGUGCCUUUUUGCAUGUACUUUAUGAAUAAGGAUCGGCUAACUCCGUGCCAGCAGCCGCGGUAAUACGGAGGAUCCGAGCGUUAUCCGGAUUUAUUGGGGUUAAAGGGAGCGUAGAUGGGUUGUUAAGUCAGUUGUGAAAGUUUGCGGCUCAACCGUAAAAUUGCAAUUGAUACUGGCAGUCGUGAGUACAGUUGAGGUAGGCGGAAUGCGUGGUGUAGCGGUGAAAUGCUUAGAUAUCACGAAGAACCCCGAUUGCGAAGGCAGCUUACUAAACUGUGACUGACAUUGAUGCUCGAAAGUGUGGGUAUCAAACAGGAUUAGAUACCCCAGUAGUC